This 472-nucleotide ribosomal RNA is filed under the name uncultured bacterium. RNAcentral describes it as "bacterial SSU rRNA". It matches the Rfam family "Bacterial small subunit ribosomal RNA", at positions 30 to 498 of the family's 1533-position model. The record is from RNAcentral.
AUUGAACGCUGGCGGCAUGCCUUACACAUGCAAGUCGAACGGCAGCACGGGAGCAAUCCUGGUGGCGAGUGGCGAACGGGUGAGUAAUACAUCGGAACGUGCCCGAUCGUGGGGGAUAACGGAGCGAAAGCUACGCUAAUACCGCAUACGAUCUAUGGAUGAAAGCGGGGGAUCGCAAGACCUCGCGCGAUUGGAGCGGCCGAUAUCAGAUUAGGUAGUUGGUGAGGUAAAGGCUCACCAAGCCGACGAUCUGUAGCUGGUCUGAGAGGACGACCAGCCACACUGGGACUGAGACACGGCCCAGACUCCUACGGGAGGCAGCAGUGGGGGAAUUUUUGGACAAUGGGCGCAAGCCUGAUCCAGCCAUGCCGCGUGCAGGAUGACGGUCCUAUGGAUUGUAAACUGCUUUUAUACAGGAAGAAACACUACUUCGUGAAGUAGCUUGACGGUACUGUAAGAAUAAGGAUCGGCU